RNAcentral lists this ribosomal RNA (395 nucleotides) under uncultured bacterium. RNAcentral's name for it is "bacterial SSU rRNA". It matches the Rfam family "Bacterial small subunit ribosomal RNA", at positions 505 to 898 of the family's 1533-position model. The record is from RNAcentral.
GUGUCAGCAGCCGCGGUAAUACAGAGGGUGCAAGCGUUGCUCGGAAUUAUUGGGCGUAAAGGGUAGGUAGGUGGUCUCAUUUGUGUGGGGUGAAAGCCUUGGGCUUAACUCAAGAAGUGCCCCGCAAACGGUGAGACUGGAGUACUUGAGAGGCUAGCGGAAUUCCCGGUGUAGCGGUGAAAUGCGUAGAGAUCGGGAGGAACACCAGAGGCGAAGGCGGCUAGCUGGAAAGUUACUGACACUCAACUACGAAAGCGUGGGGAGCAAACAGGAUUAGAUACCCUGGUAGUCCACGCCGUAAACGAUGGGUACUAGGUUUGGUGGGUCUUGACCCCCGCCGAACCGGCGCUAACGCACUAAGUACCCCGCCUGGGAAGUACGGUCGCAAGACUAAA